GUGAGGAAUAUUGGUCAAUGGGCGAGAGCCUGAACCAGCCAAGUCGCGUGAAGGAAGACGGCCCUACGGGUUGUAAACUUCUUUUGCAAUGGAAUAAAAAGAGUUACGUGUAAUUCAUUGUAUGUACAUUGCGAAUAAGGAUCGGCUAACUCCGUGCCAGCAGCCGCGGUAAUACGGAGGAUCCGAGCGUUAUCCGGAGUUAUUGGGUUUAAAGGGUGCGUAGGCGGAUUGGAAAGUCAGCGGUGAAAGUUUGCAGCUUAACUGUAAAAUUGCCAUUGAAACUGUCAGUCUUGAGUGAAAAUGAGGUAGGCGGAAUGUGUUGUGUAGCGGUGAAAUGCAUAGAUAUAACACAGAACACCAAUUGCGAAGGCAGCUUACUGGGAUGCAACUGACGCUGAGGCACGAAAGCGUGGGGAUCAAACAGGAUUAGAAACCCGGGUAGUCC
This 445-nucleotide ribosomal RNA is filed under the name uncultured bacterium. Its description in RNAcentral is "partial 16S ribosomal RNA". It matches the Rfam family "Bacterial small subunit ribosomal RNA", at positions 354 to 796 of the family's 1533-position model. The record is from RNAcentral.